This is an RNA transcript of Zalophus californianus (California sea lion), 2284 nucleotides long. It is a transcript of the gene named kallikrein related peptidase 15, with no coding region annotated. The transcript is spliced from 2 exons. Lineage: Eukaryota; Metazoa; Chordata; Mammalia; Carnivora; Otariidae. The record is from RefSeq and is a predicted model, not a curated record.
GGGCUCAUCUCUGAUGUCACCUCUCCCAAAUAGCUUUCUCUGACUGGAUACUCCUCCGCAAGGCCCAUGAGCAGAGAGGGGCAAGGUCAGUUCUGAGGUUAGAAUGACCCACUGCGGCAGGACAGAGAUGAGACAGAGGGACAGAAUGAGGGCCAGAGGCCUGUGAAGAAGGCUGAGGUGAGGGUCCCGGUCUGAACAAGGACAAACCUGGGUUGAGCUCGGCAACAGACACGAGGGGACAGUAGGCAGUGAGGGGAAGCCCAAGAAUGACAGAAUCAACAGCUCUGGAGAAUCAGGAUGCCUAUUACAAAGCCUCCAAUGCCUACACUCCAAGAGAGAUUUCAUACCCCAGAGCCCAUCGGACCCUCAAAUAUGUGCACUAUGUCCCUGAAGCUCUCUGAUCGCUGCACCUCCCUGAGCCAAGAUGCCUGUCUCCCAACUUCCAACGUCCCUGAAAUAUGUGAGCUUGGCUUUCAGAACUCCGAGAUUCCUGUAUUUCCAGAUGCAGGAAUGAGUUCCCCUACUAUAAUGUUCCCGUCAAAAUGAACUCUUGCGGUGCCAGAAUUCCACAAGCCCAGCACUACUGGACCCAGAGAUAUGAAAUUCCAAAGGUAUCCUGGAGCGAGUCUCCUAGCAUCCUCAAAUCCAAUGUUCUCCAAAAAUGCAGGGGUCCUGACAUAGAGCCUCUCCCAACUCCUCAUUCCUCAACCGGGACAUGUGAUGACCCAGGAAACUCAGAUGACCUGCCCUUCCAGGUCAAGAGAAUCCUCAACAAAUCCAGUGGCCCCACUCCAAUGAACAUUUAGAUCUCAGGGGCCUUGUUAAUGGACCUCAGGAUUAAGUGGCAUUGAGUAUCACGUUUUGGACUCCCAGAAGAGAUUCAAGAACUAGAGCUUUCGGGCCUCCAAUGUUGGCCCACAACGUGUCCUACAUGCUGUAGACAGAAUGUCUGCGUUCCCCCCAAAUUCAUUUGUUGAACUCCUCUCCCCAGUGUGAUGGUUUGAGGGGAUGGGGCCUUUGGGAAGUGAUUAUGUCACAAAGAUGGAGCUCUCAUGAAUGGAAGGAGUGCACUUAAAAGGGAUCCCUUGCCCCUUCUGCCAUGUUAAGACACAGAGAGAAGAAAGCCAUCUAUGAACCAGGAAGGGGGCUCUCACCUGUGGGAGACAUGUGGGUCCAGCCCCUCUCAUGUCAAGCACUUGAUCAAAUCUUUCCCCUCUCGGAGCUGAGCAACAUGAGAAGCUCCCAACAUAGGAAGUGAGAGAAGUGGUCACAGACACUCACAGGUGAAGACCAUAAAGGCUGGGGUAUAAGAAUACAUUCAGUCAGUGAUCUGACCUCCCCUACACACAGAUCAGUGUCACCCUGUGGAAGAAAUGUGCCUCAGCGUGAGUGAGGAACCCCUGGAUACAGUGCCCAAUCCCCAUUCUAAUCCACAUACACAACCUCAACCAAAACCCAGUACAGCCCAACCCAAUCAACCCAAACCCCAAACCCACACAUGUCCAACCCAAGGCAUUCAGGUGUGGACCCAGUGGAUCAGACUCCAUUGCAACACCUGGACAUAGAGCUGGACAUUGAAGAUGACAGAGACAUAGCUGGAGAUACAGGCUUCAGGACGGGACAUAUUUAUCCAUCUCUACACCAGCCCUCAAGUCAGAUGCUUGAUGUUCAAGGUCUCUCACUGCAUUUCACAUAUGAUGACAAGGUUCACAAGUACAGGCAAAUAGGAGACAGGUAAGGCCUUACACACGUGCCACACACACACAGCUGCAUUGUGCACAAGUACCAAACAGGCAGAUUUCAAGGUCAAAGAACUAUGAACCUCUACACUGGGAAACAGAGAUAACCCCCCAAGGUUAAGCCAUAUAUACACACACACAAACAGGAGCCAACACUAGGGCAGGAUUUGACACAGAUCCCACAGAUCAAAUGACCACACUCUUCCCACUGUUGUUGGGAAUUGGGCUGGAACUCCGGUGAGCAGAGAGCAUGUGGUUGUGGUGGAGGAAGAGCAUGAGGAAAACUGAGUGAUGUUACCUUUCCCUUUCUUGGGGGGAAAGGUAGAGGGUGAGGCUGGACUCAUGUUGUUAGAAAUUCCCCAUGGGCAUGUCACAUGUCUUCAGAGCAAAGGAAUUAAUACAUUUUACACUCUGGACUGUCUUCCAAGAUGUUUGUCUAUCAUGCAGCCUUUCAAGAUGGUAUCUCCCUCAGAGAAAGUUUGUUUACUGUCCAUGAUUUAAUAAAAGAUAAUAUUUGUUUACUGCCAAGGACAAUAAAAAUUACA